Molecule: ribosomal RNA, 497 nt
Filed under: uncultured bacterium
Lineage: Bacteria
Description: partial 16S ribosomal RNA
Rfam family: Bacterial small subunit ribosomal RNA
Source: RNAcentral
GAUGAACGCUGGCGGCGUGCCUAAUACAUGCAAGUCGAGCGAACAGACGAGGAGCUUGCUCCUUUGACGUUAGCGGCGGACGGGUGAGUAACACGCAGGUAACCUACCUAUAAGACUGGGAUAACUUCGGGAAACCGGAGCUAAUACCGGAUAAUAUUUCGAACCGCAUGGUUCGAUAGUGAAAGAUGGCUUUGCUAUCACUUAUAGAUGGACCUGCGCCGUAUUAGCUAGUUGGUAAGGUAACGGCUUACCAAGGCAACGAUACGUAGCCGACCUGAGAGGGUGAUCGGCCACACUGGAACUGAGACACGGUCCAGACUCCUACGGGAGGCAGCAGUAGGGAAUCUUCCGCAAUGGGCGAAAGCCUGACGGAGCAACGCCGCGUGAGUGAUGAAGGUCUUCGGAUCGUAAAACUCUGUUAUUAGGGAAGAACAAACGUGUAAGUAACUGUGCACGUCUUGACGGUACCUAAUCAGAAAGCCACGGCUAACUACGUG